UGAACGCUGGCGGCGUGCUUAACACAUGCAAGUCGUACGAGAACUCUUUAGCUUGCUAAAGAUAGUAAAGUGGCGCACGGGUGAGUAACGCGUGGGUAAUCUACCCUUGAAUUUGGGAUAACAUUGCGAAAGCGAUGCUAAUACCGGAUAAUAUCUUUUAAAUUUCGAUUUAUUAGAUCAAAGAUGAUCUCUACAUGUAAAUUAUCGUUUGGGGAUGAGCCCGCGUACCAUUAGCUUGUUGGUAGGGUAACGGCCUACCAAGGCUACGAUGGUUAGCUGGUCUGAGAGGAUGAUCAGCCACACUGGAACUGACACACGGUCCAGACUCCUACGGGAGGCAGCAGUGAGGAAUUUUGCGCAAUGGGGGAAACCCUGACGCAGCAACGCCGCGUGAGUGAUGAAGGCUUUAGGGUCGUAAAGCUCUGUCAAGUGGGAAGAAACUAUUUAAUAUUAAUACUAUUAAAUACUGACGGUACCACUGAAGGAAGCACCGGCUAACUCC
RNAcentral lists this ribosomal RNA (502 nucleotides) under uncultured bacterium. RNAcentral's name for it is "bacterial SSU rRNA". It matches the Rfam family "Bacterial small subunit ribosomal RNA", at positions 30 to 504 of the family's 1533-position model. The record is from RNAcentral.